UACAGAGGGUGCGAGCGUUAAUCGGAAUUACUGGGCGUAAAGCGCGCGUAGGCGGUUUGUUAAGUCGGAUGUGAAAUCCCCGGGCUCAACCUGGGAAUUGCGCUUGUGACUGGCGGGCUCGAGUACGGUAGAGGGGGGUGGAAUUCCUGGUGUAGCAGUGAAAUGCGUAGAGAUCAGGAGGAACACCGAUGGCGAAGGCAGCCCCCUGGGCCUGUACUGACGCUCAUGCACGAAAGCGUGGGGAGCAAACAGG
RNAcentral lists this ribosomal RNA (253 nucleotides) under uncultured microorganism. RNAcentral describes it as "partial 16S ribosomal RNA". It matches the Rfam family "Bacterial small subunit ribosomal RNA", at positions 524 to 776 of the family's 1533-position model. The record is from RNAcentral.